UACGGUAGGGGACGAGCGUUGUCCGGAAUUACUGGGCGUAAAGGGCGCGCAGGCUGUAGAUCAAGUCAGCUGUGAAAUGUCUGGGCUUAACCCGGGCAUGCGGUUGAAACUGAUGUACUGGAGUGCUGUAGAGGCAAGUGGAAUUCCCAGUGUAGCGGUGAAAUGCGUAGAUAUUGGGAAGAACACCGGUGGCGAAGGCGACUUGCUGGGCAGCAACUGACGCUGAGGCGCGAAAGCCAGGGGAGCAAACGGGAUUA
RNAcentral lists this ribosomal RNA (257 nucleotides) under uncultured prokaryote. RNAcentral's name for it is "partial 16S ribosomal RNA". It matches the Rfam family "Bacterial small subunit ribosomal RNA", at positions 524 to 780 of the family's 1533-position model. The record is from RNAcentral.